This 229-nucleotide long non-coding RNA is filed under the name Nicotiana benthamiana. RNAcentral's name for it is "long non-coding RNA (NBEN_LNC002951)". The record is from RNAcentral. Lineage: Eukaryota; Viridiplantae; Streptophyta; Magnoliopsida; Solanales; Solanaceae.
UAAUCUAGGUAUAUUAUGGACUUGAAUUAUGUUCAUAUGAAAUCUAUUUGGGGUUUAAAUCCUCAAGUUCGUAUUUCAAGUUAAUGCUGAGAUUUGGGAAGUUAAGGCUAACUUGUAGUUAGUUGUUGAACUUGGAUUCUCGAAAUUUUUUUUAAUUUUAAUUUGCAGUACUUCAUUUGUGAAAAAUGCCAUGUAUUGGCUUAUUACAAAGUGAAAAUGAGUCUAGAAG